Molecule: unclassified non-coding RNA, 3212 nt
Filed under: Hevea brasiliensis (rubber tree)
Lineage: Eukaryota; Viridiplantae; Streptophyta; Magnoliopsida; Malpighiales; Euphorbiaceae
Source: RNAcentral
UUUGCAUAAAUGUGCUACAAAAAAAUGAGAUCACUGUAUCCAAUUUAAGCUUUCAAGCUCUCUAAGUCUCGAAAAAUCAACAACUAUAUACAAAUAAUCAAGGUCAUUGGAAUUCCAUUAAAUCCUGAACAGAAAAAUGUAUUGUCAUUGAUUGGGAAUCAUAGAAGCACGUCAGGACACCCUCACAGAACUUCGUCGGAGCCACAAUUCAUAAAUAACCAUGUAGAAAGCAUCAUAAUCAACUGGGGGAACAUGCCAUUGGAAAUGUUUUCGCACCUUCAACACAUUAUUUUGUAACAUCCGAUAUUUGUUAGAGCUUAUUGCUUUAAGGAUUUUCUUAAGCAGUGGAAUGUCUAAAGUGGCAACAACAACUGAAAAGCUCUUCCAAUUUAGAACGUCCGUAAAUGGAAGGUCAUAAUGGUUGGCGAUAAUAACUGGGACGCAUCCGUAAUGUAGCGAAUCCGCGAUGCGAGCUGUGUUUACUUCAAAGCCUUUGACGUGGAGGCAGAACUUACUCCCCAGUAGCUUGUCAGCAUAAGGUGUUGUGAGCCGGCCAAAAUGGACAGAAAUCUCAGAGUCAUUUCUCCAAACUUGAAGAAGCCUUUCACGGACAGGGGAGUUGAUUGAUCCAGCAAAGAAUGCAAGCUUCUUCCUGUCAACAUAUAUUACUCAAUUGAAGUUAGGUACGUUUGAAUACAUCCAGGUAAAAUUAAAGCAAUGCAAGAUUACUCAUGCAGUGGCAAUGACAAUUCGCUGUGCAUGUUAUCAAAUAGAUAGAAGUUUCCUGCAAAAAGUAUAUGCUCAUUGGCAUACAGUAAAAUAAAAAUUGCAAUCGAAAUAAAUUUUCUUAUCUUCACCUUUUUGAUGAAGUAAGGUUAGGAGGAUCUUCUUGCCUAGGCCAAACUUGUGGCAGAGAUGCAUCCUUGUGAGCAAUGUGACCAGAAAGGAAAUAGCUUGAAGAGCAGACAACUUGAAUGGCAUUAAAUUUCACAUCCUCUGCUUUCUUCAUUGCUGACCGUCCAAUGGAAUGACAAGCAACAUAAAAAUGGUCAGCUCCACCAGUCCGAUUCCAAUAUGGAUACUUGUGACUUAUAUUAAAGAUGUAAUCUCUGAUGAAAUCCUGGAUACCUCCUACACCAAUUCUAGGGUCAUGCCGCAACCUUGCAAUGGAGAAAGGCAAAAAGAAAAGAUCUGCCUUUGUUGGAUCCUUCGUGAUGAAGUGGCUUUUCAUGAGGACUUUCUUAAAGUAACUUUCGCUGGCAUAAUUGCCCCCAGGUUCAAAAUCCACUGGCAACAGUGCAUUUGCAAAUGGAUCAUCUCGCCUGUGAGGAUAAACGUAUAUCUUAAAGCUUCUAUUCAUUUGUUUAUAGUCUUCCAGAAAGAUAUCUCUAUCAUGGAACACCUCGUCAUUCACAUAGAUUCCUGAAUCAUAAAAACCAAGAGUUUCCAGAUGCUGGUGUUAAGAAAUAAAAGUUUGUGCAUAUGGACUGGGCUUUCUUUAGCCUCGCUGUAACCCACACAUCAGAGGUUGCUUAAGCUCCAAACCAUUCAUAAGGUUCAAUUAAUAAAAGAGGUCCACAACUAAGAGAAUAGGCAAUAGUACACCAAAUUUAACUACUUCAUUCUCUAGAUAAGUGCUACAUUAUUUCAAACUUCUAAUUCACCUAGGUUUAGGAUACAUUCCAGGCAGAAGGUCCAACUGCUACAUGCAUCAUUGAUAUAUUUUACAUGUAAAAUAAAGUUGAAACUUGAAAGUUUUUAUAUUGGAAAUAUUAAUUACAGGAGUUCUUGACUUUGCAGAAAGCACUGGAGAGAGAGAGAGAGAGGAGGGGCGGCAUGAGAGCAAUACACAAACAACACGGUGUAAUCUCAAAUUUUACUUAGUGCGACAGACAAAACUUAUUGUGAUGCACUAAGAUCAAACAGUAUUAGACCAGCAUUUUCCAAAUUGGAUGGCCUAAGCCCUCAGACUACAUUAUAUAUAUGAAGACUUCAAGAUGACUGCAGAGAGAAUUAACACAAAGAUUUAACCUUUGUUCUAGUAUAUCAUUGUUAAUAAUGGUUUUUUCCUGCAAAAUGUAUGUGUGUGUGUGUGUGUACCUAUAUAGAUUUUGGGACCAUAAAACAACAUUGUUGACUAACAUGGCUACGCCUUUAACAUUGAUAAUGAAAGAACUCAAAGCUAAUAAUGAUGCACCCAAAGGAAAUAAGAGAAGGGAGGAAAUUGUCUUCUGUAUAUCAGAUUUACGCUCCUAUAACUAUAUAGAGACUAUAAGAUAAUCCCACUUUGGUUUCUGAUUACCAAAAUAUUAUUCUGCUACAUUUCUCUUAAGACUUUUUUUCAGUGCUCUAACUUGGAAUCUUAUUUGGAAUGUUACCGAGUGCUUUACCAUUAUGAAAUAAUUUUUUCAAGAACACUUAACUGCUCAAAUUUCUUAAUGAAUAGUUGAUUCCUACUUAACCUAAAAAUCACAAUUGAGAAGAAACUGGACCUGCAAAUAACUCCCUCCUGCCAAUUUUUGCCGGUCUUUUCAAUAACGGCUCGAGGAUACAAGCUCUUAAUUUGCAAAACAGUCCAGAUUACAAAUGAAGACCCCCACCUAAAUCCCCAUUCAUCUUUAGAUAACUGAAGUGUUUGCUCAUUUAGAAUUUGGAGCAAGUGAAUUUAGAAGCCAUACAAAGAUUUACAUAAAAUUGAAGCUUAAUGAAAUAUUCAGUCAUAGAAAUGCAAACAAAGAUUCCACCCACAAACUAUCCAAAAACAAAAGUGUGCUUAAAAAUUUGACAUACCAUUAAAGACCAAUUGAAGUUUGGAAGAACGUUGACUUUUAUAUCCACCAUCAUCGUUCUUCUCCAAGGGACUAAUUCUGGGAAAAUGAACAAGUGGGGUUUUAGAAUCAUUGUGAAGUGGAAGUGGGAUGUUUUCUUGAGUGUUUGAUGAGGACCCAGAUGACAGAUGAGGUUUCAGGCGAACAGUAGAAGGGUGAAGAUGACCGGAGAAGAGAAUAGAGGUAGUAGAGAUAUAAAAGAUAAUAAUGAGAGAAGUAAAGAGAGCCAAGCAAGUGGGUAUGAAGAAGAAUGACCUGAAUGAAGGGGAAAAUCGGCGGUGACCGAGGCAGUAGAGGAGCAAGGAACUGUUGGCCAUGGAGAGAGUUUCGAGCCCUCUCUCCAGAAAGCAGCACAAGCUCUUUGCAUAGAAAAAUCCACGCAAA